This 163-nucleotide ribosomal RNA is filed under the name uncultured bacterium. RNAcentral describes it as "partial 16S ribosomal RNA". It matches the Rfam family "Bacterial small subunit ribosomal RNA", at positions 355 to 509 of the family's 1533-position model. The record is from RNAcentral.
UAGGGAAUUUUCGUCAAUGGGCGCAAGCCUGAACGAGCAAUGCCGCGUGAACGAGGAAGGUCUUCGGAUCGUAAAGUUCUGUUGAAGGGGAAAAAGAGCGGAGAGAGGAAAUGGUCUCCGAUUGAUAUUACCCUUCGAGGAAGUCACGGCUAACUACGUCGCC